Molecule: ribosomal RNA, 183 nt
Filed under: Triticum aestivum (bread wheat)
Lineage: Eukaryota; Viridiplantae; Streptophyta; Magnoliopsida; Poales; Poaceae
Description: partial small subunit ribosomal RNA
Source: RNAcentral
AUGCGCAAAGGGCUCUCCUCCCUGGUGCUUCUCGCCGCAUGGUCCCUCUGGCGUCACCGCAACGCAUGCAUCUUCGACAAUGCUAGCUCCUCCGCUGUGCUACUUCUCCAGGCCAUCAAGGACGAUGCUAGGGUUUGGGCCUUGGCUGGCGUUAAAGACAUAGCUAAUCUCAUGCCACCUUGA